UUGUGUGUGCAUGAAUGUGCAUGCAUGGGUGCGUCAUAGGUCUGUGUGUGUGCCUGUGCUUGCAUUUGUGUGCAUGCUGGGGUUGAACCCAGGGCCUCAUACAUGCAUGUCACUGGUUUUUCUUUUCAUUCAUCUCAACAAGUUUUCUAAUUUACCUGAUGAUUUCUUCCUUGACCUAUUGGUUAUUCAGGAUUGUUAUCUAAAUCUGUCUGUGAAUUUAUCAAUUUCUCCUUUGUUUUUGAAUUCUAGUUUUCUUUCAUCUUGAUCAGAUAAUACAUUUUGAAUGAUGUCAACCCUCUUACAUUCAUCCAGAUUUGUUUCAUGUCCUACUGUGUGUUUUGUUCUGAAAAAUAUGUCACGUGUCCCUAAGAAGAACAUGCCUUUUUGUGUUGAGCCUCAUCAGACCACCGGCAGCACUGAAUGGUCCUCCCCCAGAUGUCAAGCGUGACUGUGACACGUGCUCCACAUGACAGCCUUCAAGGCCUAUUGCUCAUGUCGCUUGCUGUCCAGCACAGCCACGAUGGCUGGAGAGGGCAGGGGGUGAGACGGGCUUCAGAUUUCAAGGUCACUUAAGGGCUAUGGCUGGGAUGUCACUUCGCAUCUUGGCACAGAAGGGAAGGCCAAGGUUCACUUCAGCUGGCCUGCUGUGAGGGGGAGCGAAGGGAAGGAGAGGGAGUGGGCUUACAGCUGGGGCACUCAACCUCACAAGUGGCAUCUUCAUCACAGCGUCACCCCUGAAACUCGGUCACCCCUGAAACUUGAUCACGUGGCUAUAAGGUGCCUUUUUUUACUUGGCUUAAACAGCUGCCUCAGGCAAAAAGCUCAGGGAGUGAUCCCUCUCUUCAGCACCUUCUUCAGCAGCGGUGUUGUGUGGCCUGAGUGAGGUGAAGGCCCCGUUGGUAGAGGGAGUCUGUGCCCCUGAAGGGGUAUGGAGUCUUGGGUACAGACACACGUGACCUUGAUUUGCAGCUUGGGUAUCUGGGGGUAAGAGAUUCUGGGUUCACCUCUUUAACCCAAAGUUUUUGAAGAGGGGCUGAUGUAGAUGUUUACUGAACAGCAGUCCUCAGGCNUCCAGCUGCUGGCUGAUGAUUGGCUCACAG
Molecule: long non-coding RNA, 1100 nt
Filed under: Marmota monax (woodchuck)
Lineage: Eukaryota; Metazoa; Chordata; Mammalia; Rodentia; Sciuridae
Source: RNAcentral